RNAcentral lists this unclassified non-coding RNA (175 nucleotides) under uncultured Cladophialophora. RNAcentral describes it as "sequence contains ITS2". Lineage: Eukaryota; Fungi; Ascomycota; Eurotiomycetes; Chaetothyriales; Herpotrichiellaceae. The record is from RNAcentral.
UCACCCCUCAAGCCCCGUGCUUGGUGUUGGACGGCCUGGCUGGGCGCACUGCCCGGCCCCUCCUAAAGGCAAUGACGGCGGUCUGUGGAACCCCCGGUACACUGAGCUUCUUUACCGAGCACGUACUGGAUAAAAAGGGCGCCCGGACGACGGUCUAAACCCCCCAUUUCUCAAA